GAGUAACUUAUCCGUGGCCACGAUCUAAUAUGGUAAAUGGUGUCUGUUUGACCAAGUACUCACCCUCUCCGUUAUCCUGCCUCAAGAAAGACAGUGCGUGGACUCACUGAAGCAUCAAUAUGAUCAGAAAAGUUGGAAUGGAAUCCCUCCUUGGUUCAGAAAGCUGAGGGUGUGACUUCUCCAAGGCUGCCCAGCUCUGCGCUCAUGUGAGAGUUAUACUAUUCCCCAGGAGGCACUGCUAAUGAAGAGGAAAUACUGCUUCCAACUCCAUGCUAUCUGUUCACCUUUCAAAGGACCUAAUUUCUCCAAAAGUUAUAAAGAAUAUAUAACUAAUGAAGCAAAACAUGUGCUGAAAAAUGCAGGUGUUACACAUUGCACCUUCAGCAUCCAUUCAGCCGGCAAGUGAGUGCCUACUGUAUGCCAGACCCCAUACAAUUGGAGAAUCAGUGGAUUAACCUGGGAAGAAGAAAUCCUGGUCCUAAACUCCUGGAAGGGAUAGUCCUCAGGGAGAUGAACAAAGCCAGUGAGAUCAGCAGAGGAGUGAGGAGAUCUGCUGAAGCAUACCUGAGGACUAGGAGUCUUGUGAGUGGCCAUAAUCCCUUAGAGAAAAACCAC
Molecule: long non-coding RNA, 615 nt
Filed under: Vulpes vulpes (red fox)
Lineage: Eukaryota; Metazoa; Chordata; Mammalia; Carnivora; Canidae
Description: lncRNA (ENSVVUG00000006421.1)
Source: RNAcentral